Argentina anserina (silverweed cinquefoil) is the source of this 1215-nucleotide RNA transcript. It is a transcript of the gene named THO complex subunit 7A, with no coding region annotated. The record is from RefSeq and is a predicted model, not a curated record. The transcript has 3 exons. Lineage: Eukaryota; Viridiplantae; Streptophyta; Magnoliopsida; Rosales; Rosaceae.
CCCAUUGCAGUGCCUUUCCUCACUUGAAAGUUGAAAUUGGGUUUAGGGUUUGGUUGAGCCAGAAUCCCCAAAUGCUGGGAAAGGGAAGAAAAGUUUCCGGUCGCGGCGAGACCGUGGCGGCCAACUACGCCUUCGGCCCUCACGAAGAUGACGUAAUCAUCAAGCACCGCCUUCUCACUCGCACCACCACCACAAGAGGCGAGCCGCCGUUGAAGAAGCUCCAGAAGAAGUUCACCUCCCUCUUCGUCGAGCUCGACAAGGACGGCGACGGCGACAGCCAUGCCGACUGCGAGAAGCUCGCCAGGGCCUUCCUGCAGGAGCUCUCCACCUUCGAGAUUCCGCUCCUGAAGAGCAAGGCGGUGGUGGACGCGAAUCUGGCAGAGAAGCACAACUUCGACGAGCUGAGGGAGGAGAUCAAUCGGCAGAUUCUGCAGGCGCAGAGUGACAUUGAGACUCUGAAGAAGCAGCUGGAGGAGGCCAAGAUCGAGCGGCGGCAUAAGGAGGCGUGUGAGGCCAUCAGGAGGCUGAUUGCGGCACAGCCGCCGCGUGCUCAGACGCUGAAGAUCAUAUCGGAAUUGGAGACGGAGAUUGCGGCUUCGGAUUCGGAGAAUACAGCCAGUUCGAGGAUGCUGGAGCUUCGGAAGAAGCAGUUUGCUCUGCUGUUACAUGUGGUGGAUGAGUUGCAGACUACUAUAGAGGAAGAGCAGAAGAGUUUGAUUGAGGAGAAGGAGCAGAGAAGUGUGAUGGAGGAUGUGAAUGGAGGACCGGACCCAAUGCAUGUUGACUAAGGGUGUGCAAUGCCUCUCGGAUUUGUAAUUGUAAGAUUCUGUGCUCAUAUAUAUUCGAUUGAUGCAAUGGUCUCGGUGUUGAUUGGAAUAAGGAAGUAUACAUUUGUCUCAGUUGUAGUAUGUGAGCACUCUAAUCUUCGUCAGUCUUGUGCAUCUGGUUCAGUAAAGAAUGGUGGGUGAGUUGCAGGCUUGGGAGAGCAGAACACUUAAUUGAGGAGAAAGAGCGCAAGUAUGCAUUAAAGCAUGCAAGUGGGGCUAGAAAACGAUGCAUGUUGAUACAAGUAUAUGAGAGCAUCUUGGAUUUGUAAUUGUAAGAUUUUAUGCUCAUAAGUUCUACACUUCUACUCAUGAAAUCAUUUACAUCUCAAUUUUUGGUGAUAGGCAUGCAAGAGAAUAUAAGCUUGCUGAACUGUAGUCAUAGUAAGUA